Molecule: long non-coding RNA, 1913 nt
Filed under: Nicotiana benthamiana
Lineage: Eukaryota; Viridiplantae; Streptophyta; Magnoliopsida; Solanales; Solanaceae
Description: long non-coding RNA (NBEN_LNC018561)
Source: RNAcentral
GGGUUUCAACCAAGGGUCAUUUGAUAAACUACUACUCCUUAUUACUGCUAAGUAGCCUCAUCAUAAUCAACAGGCUCUAAUACGACAAUCACUCGCAGUAAUACAGGCUAAGCUAAAGGAAAUCCAACUCUAAUUGCAUACUCUAAUAAACAGAAUUCAGAGCAGGUCACUACACUAUAUAACACGAUCUAAUUAUAAAUUACAACCAUGCUUUGAUAAAUGCAUUAGACAAAAUCCAAUUGUGGUAUACUGAUCAAAAAACAACUGAAGGAAUAAAGAUUAAAGUCAAUGAACCAGCACUAAACUUUAUCUUAUUCCAAUACUUUGCAUUACACAAUAGGUGGAUUCCAUAGGGUUGAAUAAUACCUGGGAUAAGAAAAGGAAACAAAGGAGAGAGUGAAGAUCAGUAGGUCGCAGCAACAGCAAGUCAACAGCCUAAUUCCACCAGAAUGGUGACCCAACAAAUCACAUAACCCCUAAAAAAUAGCUACUACUCCAACUUCGAAUCAUUUCAGCUCAAAAGAAUUCGAUGAUAGUUUCAAAAAAUGAAAGCAAACUCCGAAAACCAAAGAAUCAUAUAUCAGUUCAAUAGAAUAGUGUUUUCCUUUCUCAAGCCAACCAGCUCUUUUUUUAUAUUUUUUUAAACUCCUAAAAUCUCUUAAGCUUACGAAACAGUAAAUGUAUGCAACCUUUAUUUCCUGGAUUUUCAGCUCUUCAAAAUCUCUAAAGAUGCAGCUUUGUUUUCUGGAGAUUUUAGCCUUUAAACCUUGCCUUGAAAGGCAAGAAUGUUACCUUAUAUAGGCUCCACUAUAGGGCAGCCCUGAAGAUUUUGUUUUGCAUUUUAAUUCCUUUUAAACUCUUAUUUUUAGCUUAGGAACCCCCUUACUUAUUGACGUGCUGCCCAAGCUACACCACUAUAAUUCUAAAAUUACAACUAGAGCCCCUUCUAGGUGCUUGCAGGGGCUUCUAAUUUCUAUUACCAAAGAUUCCCUGAGAUGAUUUCCCUAAACUACCCUUUUCUUAUUCUGAAAAUUACCAAGUUAAACUAGCCCCCCUCUUACCUUGAUAACUGGUCAAGAAUUGACCAUAAAUAAACAAGAUUCUAUAGUAUUCAACUAUAACCACACAACUCUAAAAUUAACUAAUGAAAUUAACUCUAAGACAGUAGGCUGACAAUUAGGCAAUUGAAAUUAAUGUCAAGUAAUUAGGAAUCAAUUAAUCACGACCCAACACAACAUCAAAUUAGAAGAGAAGAAAAAGAAAAUGAAAAGAAAAAGAAAUCAAACGGAACAGAAUUAAAUACAAAAACAGAAUCAAUGAUAAGAAAAACCUAAAAUUUCUAAAUCAAUUGAUCAAAGAGAACAUUGAUGAAGGAGAGAAUAAUGUAUGCGAAGUAAGGAAAGAUCAAGAGAAAAAGAAAACUUACUGAGGAUAAGUCAAACAAAAGGACCCCAAUUUGAGGUCUGGAAUGAUGUGGAUUUUUGUUCUUUACCAAGAACAAACGAGCACAUUAUCUCGUAUCUCUAAUCAAACUCUGGACAAAGAAAGUGGGAAGAACUCGAACCAAUCGGACUUCAAGGUUCCGCCACUUCUACGAUCUGAAAUUCGAAGAGCUCCAGCAACAUUCGAAGGCUAGAGGUUAUGGAUUCACAAAGAGGAAGGUGAGGAGGCUAUUUGGUAUCAAUUUGGGACCGUUUACCGUCGGCGCCGCUGCACACGGCGGGGCAGCCGGCAUUUCUAACGGAUAUUCGAGAUGAUUGGCGGGGAUUUGAGACAUGGGAGUUUGGGGUUUGGAAAGAGGAGGUUACGGAGAGUACACGGUGUAAAUUUUAGAGGGAUUGGAGACUUGCCUCCGCCGCCGGUGAUUUUCGGCCGGCGGCGGAGGGCGGUGGUGAUAUUAGGUUUUCUGUGGG